GCUUGAAGUCGGAAUGGCCGAAUAAAUCAACGACCGACCAAGUAAUUGUGAUCAAAUUCACGCUUUGUUCACAAAAGCUCGAAUGCUUCUUGGAGCUAUUCCAACAAUUUCUCCUACAACUCGAUCACCCAAUUCGUUCGAAUCUAUGUGUAUGUGUAUAAAAUGUGGCGAAGAGACUCACACUUCGAAUUAAUACAUUAUCGGAAGAUAAAAGACCGAGCACAAAUUCCUUUACACAUUGAGUUGCCGAUCGAUUCUCUAGAGAGGAAACGCGGGACGAAGGUUGCUCGAGUUGGCUCCGAAGCUAGGACAACGGGUGCAUUUCGCGGAUGGCACGAACUUAAGAUG
Molecule: RNA transcript, 348 nt
Organism: Nylanderia fulva
Lineage: Eukaryota; Metazoa; Arthropoda; Insecta; Hymenoptera; Formicidae
Source: RefSeq, a predicted model, not a curated record